UACUAUUUGAAAUUCUACAGAUGGAGACUCUCAAAGGGUACUUUUCCCUUUAACUUUCUCUCUUUGUUUCUAAUUUUGUUUUUUAGUAGUUUUAAUUGUUCAGGGUUUGACUCAAACCGUUUGAGAGCUUGGUGUUUACUUGCAACCACAUUCUUGGAUUCUCUAACACAAGGUUGUAAGGCUGAAUAUCGUGUGAAUCAGAUAAGGAAUAACUAUUUUAACUUAUCUUGAAUCAAUAUACAAUUAUAUUAAUCGAAAUAAGCUAGAGAAAGGUUUAUUUGUCUGUGGUAUAAGCAGUGGCAUAAGUUGCUGGAAGAACUUGCACGAUAGAGUAAAACAAGAAUAUCAACUAGCCACGAACUCCUACUUCUUAAAGCACCGCAAUCCGUAGCUGUGAAAAAAUGUGAGAGAUCAAGUUCUAGAGAAAAACCAAAAGCUAAGCAAGAUUCAGAUUUGUGGAAGUAAAGCUUUUGCAUGAUAAUUCAAUAAAAUCAUAUUCAGAUCUAUCGCAAUGGAGCAUUAAAAUGGUCGUGCGUCAUAUUUGCCCAUUCGAGUCCAAAGUCAAGAUCUAUUUAGAGCAAUCAAAAUACACAUUUUGAAAAGAAGUCUUCUUUCAUCCUUGCACGGUGAAGAACAAAGACUCUGCUUCCCUUUCCAGGAUUCUUAUUCGUUUGGUUGUUGAAAGAUACCAAGAACUCUCAUCAAAACUAGAGUACAAUUUUCCAUUGAAGUAGCAAGAGUAGAUCUAUGGAGGUGCUUUCCAGGAUUUUGAAGUAACGUGAAGCUGAAUAUUGAAAAUAUGCAAAGACAAAAAGGCUCGAGCGGGAAUCAGGGAGGUUCACUUCCAUUGACUUACAUCGACAGCAGAAGGCAGUAGUCAAGGUGCUCUCCUGAUUAGGUGGUGCUAGAGAAAACGAAGGAAAGCCUAGGUGCAUGGUGCAACAUAUGGUAAUUUGUUGGAUUGUUGCCCCCAAGACAUGAAAGUACUGAAACCAUUGGAAGGGCUUUGACUCUCGGUGUUAACAUCAAGAUGAUCACUGAUAACCAGUUGUAAACUUGGAAUGGGAAUAAACAUGUAUCCAUCUUCGGCUUUUCUUGGUACGCACAAGUGGUAGGAACCAACAAACCCCAUGGAUGAAUAUGUCUCUCAAGUCUCAAUGGUUGUAAGUUUUGUCACGUAAGAGACAUGGAGAACAUACCUGGCAGAGAAUCAAGUGAAUUCCUCCAAAGAACUGAUCAGAUUAGAAAGAGCUAGUGUCUUGCGGCUGAAUAGAAUGGGAGAUAUGUAAAGGAAGGAACAAAUACUUUUGACAAACUAUUUAGGCCAUCGUCAAAGAUUUUGCAACAUACACAUCCAUUAAUUAGUAUUCAGUAGACAGUGGAAAGAAGUGUCUAAAGGAAACUUGAACCCAGAUGUCUGCAUAGAGGUAAAUCCACAUAAGAUCUCACACCCUCGGCCAAGUUCACAUCACACAUUAGAAUUAUAGAACCUUGACGUGUCUUUAUUCGGUGGAGCAUGGAAUUCUUCUCAUUGUAGAUCGCUGCUUGACAUUGUUUGACAAUCCACUGGUCGACUCUCUUCACACAACUUACAAUGAGCUCAAGCUUAAAAAUGGGUGUGUUCGGCAUUCUAAAUCAAUGUCACAAAGGAGACAAGCGGUAAGAACCACCAAACCCCAUUGACGAAGAUGGUCUCCUGGAAGAUUUGGCACGUAAGAGACGUAGAGAACAUACUUGUUGGAGCAUCAAAUGAUUUCCUCCAAAGAAAUUGAUUAGAUUGGGAAGACUAGUGUCUCGCGGCUGAAUAGGUAAGCAUGCUUGGAGCAUAACGGCUAGCGGCAAUGUCCAACUGCCAUUAGGAACAACCUGAAAAUCUACAUCGACCUCUUUGAUAGCGUGAUAUAGUCAUGUGUGCAUGCAUACAUUCAUAUGUGCAUACAUUCAUACAUCCAUACAUUCAUGCAUACAUUCAUACAUUCAUACAUUCAUACAUUCAUACAUCCAUACAUGCAUGCAUACAUUCAUACAUGCAUACAUUCAUAC
This 2043-nucleotide small RNA is filed under the name Arabidopsis thaliana (thale cress). Its description in RNAcentral is "putative long intergenic non-coding RNA". The record is from RNAcentral. Lineage: Eukaryota; Viridiplantae; Streptophyta; Magnoliopsida; Brassicales; Brassicaceae.